Molecule: ribosomal RNA, 468 nt
Filed under: uncultured bacterium
Lineage: Bacteria
Description: partial 16S ribosomal RNA
Rfam family: Bacterial small subunit ribosomal RNA
Source: RNAcentral
GACGAACGCUGGCGGCGUGCUUAACACAUGCAAGUCGAACGGAAAGGCCCUGCUUUUGUGGGGUGCUCGAGUGGCGAACGGGUGAGUAACACGUGAGUAACCUGCCCUUGACUUUGGGAUAACUUCAGGAAACUGGGGCUAAUACCGGAUAGGAGCUCCUGCUGCAUGGUGGGGGUUGGAAAGUUUCGGCGGUUGGGGAUGGACUCGCGGCUUAUCAGCUUGUUGGUGGGGUAGUGGCUUACCAAGGCUUUGACGGGUAGCCGGCCUGGGAGGGUGACCGGGCACAUUGGGACUGAGAGACGGCCCAGAAGCCUACGGGAGGCAGCAGUGGGGAAUAUUGCACAAUGGGGGGAAGCGUGAGGCAGCAACGCCGCGUGCGGGAUGACGGCCUUCGGGUUGUAAACCGCUGUCGCCUGUGACGAAGCGUGAGUGACGGUAAUGGGUAAAGAAGCACCGGCUAACUACGUG